UGUGGCUGGGGGUGAAAGGCCAAUCAAACCGGGAGAUAGCUGGUUCUCCCCGAAAGCUAUUUAGGUAGCGCCUCGUGAACUCAUCUUCGGGGGUAGAGCACUGUUUCGGCUAGGGGGUCAUCCCGACUUACCAACCCGAUGCAAACUGCGAAUACCGAAGAAUGUUAUCACGGGAGACACACGGCGGGUGCUAACGUCCGUCGUGAAGAGGGAAACAACCCAGACCGCCAGCUAAGGUCCCAAAGUCAUGGUUAAGUGGGAAACGAUGUGGGAAGGCCCAGACAGCCAGGAUGUUGGCUUAGAAGCAGCCAUCAUUUAAAGAAAGCGUAAUAGCUCACUGGUCGAGUCGGCCUGCGCGGAAGAUGUAACGGGGCUAAACCAUGCACCGAAGCUGCGGCAGCGACGCUUAUGCGUUGUUGGGUAGGGGAGCGUUCUGUAAGCCGUCGAAGGUGUGCUGUGAGGCAUGCUGGAGGUAUCAGAAGUGCGAAUGCUGACAUAAGUAACGAUAAAGCGGGUGAAAAGCCCGCUCGCCGGAAGACCAAGGGUUCCUGUCCAACGUUAAUCGGGGCAGGGUGAGUCGACCCCUAAGGCGAGGCCGAAAGGCGUAGUCGAUGGGAAACAGGUUAAUAUUCCUGUACUUGGUGUUACUGCGAAGGGGGGACGGAGAAGGCUAUGUUAGCCGGGCGACGGUUGUCCCGGUUUAAGCAUGUAGGCGGAGGUUCCAGGUAAAUCCGGUACCUUUUAACGCUGAGGUGUGAUGACGAGGCACUACGGUGCUGAAGUAACAAAUGCCCUGCUUCCAGGAAAAGCCUCUAAGCAUCAGGUAACACGAAAUCGUACCCCAAACCGACACAGGUGGUCAGGUAGAGAAUACCAAGGCGCUUGAGAGAACUCGGGUGAAGGAACUAGGCAAAAUGGUGCCGUAACUUCGGGAGAAGGCACGCUGACAUGUAGGUGAAGCCCCUGCGGGUGGAGCUGAAGUCAGUCGAAGAUACCAGCUGGCUGCAACUGUUUAUUAAAAACACAGCACUGUGCAAACACGAAAGUGGACGUAUACGGUGUGACGCCUGCCCGGUGCCGGAAGGUUAAUUGAUGGGGUUAUCCUCAGGGAGAAGCUCUUGAUCGAAGCCCCGGUAAACGGCGGCCGUAACUAUAACGGUCCUAAGGUAGCGAAAUUCCUUGUCGGGUAAGUUCCGACCUGCACGAAUGGCGUAAUGAUGGCCAGGCUGUCUCCACCCGAGACUCAGUGAAAUUGAACUCGCUGUGAAGAUGCAGUGUACCCGCGGCAAGACGGAAAGACCCCGUGAACCUUUACUAUAGCUUGACACUGAACAUUGAGCCUUGAUGUGUAGGAUAGGUGGGAGGCUUUGAAGCGUGGACGCCAGUCUGCGUGGAGCCAACCUUGAAAUACCACCCUUUAAUGUUUGAUGUUCUAACCUGGCGCCGUGAUCCGGCGUGGGGACAGUGUCUGGUGGGUAGUUUGACUGGGGCGGUCUCCUCCUAAAGAGUAACGGAGGAGCACGAAGGUUGGCUAAUCCUGGUCGGACAUCAGGAGGUUAGUGCAAUGGCAUAAGCCAGCUUGACUGCGAGCGUGACGGCGCGAGCAGGUGCGAAAGCAGGUCAUAGUGAUCCGGUGGUUCUGAAUGGAAGGGCCAUCGCUCAACGGAUAAAA
This 1672-nucleotide ribosomal RNA is filed under the name human gut metagenome. RNAcentral's name for it is "bacterial LSU rRNA". It matches the Rfam family "Bacterial large subunit ribosomal RNA", at positions 810 to 2461 of the family's 2925-position model. The record is from RNAcentral.